UGAUGGACGAAAGUCUGACGGAUUACGCCGCGUGAGUGAUGAAGGUUUUCGGAUCGUAAAACUCUGUUGUUAGGGAAGAACAAGUGCCAUAGUAACUGAUGGCGCCUUGACGGUACCUAACCAGAAAGCCACGGCUAACUACGUGCCAGCAGCCGCGGUAAUACGUAGGUGGCAAGCGUUGUCCGGAAUUAUUGGGCGUAAAGCGCUCGCAGGCGGUUCUUUAAGUCUGAUGUGAAAUCUUACGGCUCAACCGUAAACGUGCAUUGGAAACUGGGGAACUUGAGUGCAGAAGAGGAGAGUGGAAUUCCACGUGUAGCGGUGAAAUGCGUAGAGAUGUGGAGGAACACCAGUGGCGAAGGCGACUCUCUGGUCUGUAACUGACGCUGAGGAGCGAAAGCGUGGGGAGCGAACAGGAUUAGAUACCCUGGUAGUCCACGCCGUAAACGAUGAGUGCUAGGUGUUAGGGGGUUUCCGACCCUUAGUGCUGAAGUUAACGCAUUAAGCACUCCGCCUGGGGAGUACGGCCGCAAGGUUGAAACUCAAAAGAAUUGACGGUGGCCCGCACAAGCGGUGUGAGCCUGUGGUUUUAUUCGAAGCCACGCGAAGACACUUACCAGGUC
RNAcentral lists this ribosomal RNA (620 nucleotides) under uncultured bacterium. RNAcentral describes it as "bacterial SSU rRNA". It matches the Rfam family "Bacterial small subunit ribosomal RNA", at positions 369 to 980 of the family's 1533-position model. The record is from RNAcentral.